Bombina bombina (fire-bellied toad) is the source of this 295-nucleotide long non-coding RNA. RefSeq lists it as uncharacterized. Lineage: Eukaryota; Metazoa; Chordata; Amphibia; Anura; Bombinatoridae. The record is from RefSeq and is a predicted model, not a curated record. The transcript has 3 exons.
AGUCCGGAGGAGAGACAAGAGGAGGAGGCGGAAAGUGAAUCUGAAACAGACAGUGGCACUGAAUAUGCAGCCACAGCAGAGGAUGAGGUGGAAAAAAAAGAAACGGUUGAAAUAGGGACACAAACAGAGCCCUCAGUUACACAAUUCAGGGACCUUCGUCAGGCACUGCGAAAUUUUGUAGAGGCUGCAAGAGUACUAGAGCAUUCACUUCAAAAUCUUUAAGAAAUUCAUUGUAUAUAUUUUUCUUUGUUUUACAACAAUCAUUUUAUGAAUAAUUAAAAAUUUAUAUUUAUAA